UACGUAGGUGGCAAGCGUUGUCCGGAUUUACUGGGCGUAAAGGGCUCGUAGGCGGCCAACUAAGUCGGACGUGAAAUCCCCAGGCUCAACCUGGGAACUGCGUCUGAUACUGGAUGGCUUGAAUCCGGGAGAGGGAUGCAGAAUUCCAGGUGUAGCGGUGAAAUGCGUAGAUAUCUGGAGGAAUACCGGUGGCGAAGGCGGCAUCCUGGACCGGCAUUGACGCUGAGGAGCGAAAGCCAGGGGAGCAAACGGG
Molecule: ribosomal RNA, 253 nt
Filed under: uncultured bacterium
Lineage: Bacteria
Description: partial 16S ribosomal RNA
Rfam family: Bacterial small subunit ribosomal RNA
Source: RNAcentral